Molecule: ribosomal RNA, 456 nt
Filed under: uncultured bacterium
Lineage: Bacteria
Description: bacterial SSU rRNA
Rfam family: Bacterial small subunit ribosomal RNA
Source: RNAcentral
GCACAAGCGGUGGAGCAUGUGGAUUAAUUCGAUGCAACGCGAAGAACCUUACCUGGGUUUGACAUGCACUAGACGCGUCUAGAGAUAGGCGUUCCCUUGUGGCUGGUGUGCAGGUGGUGCAUGGCUGUCGUCAGCUCGUGUCGUGAGAUGUUGGGUUAAGUCCCGCAACGAGCGCAACCCUCGUUCCAUGUUGCCAGCGCGUUAUGGCGGGGACUCAUGGGAGACUGCCGGGGUCAACUCGGAGGAAGGUGGGGAUGACGUCAAGUCAUCAUGCCCCUUAUGUCCAGGGCUUCACACAUGCUACAAUGGCCAGUACAGAGGGCUGCGAGACCGCAAGGUGGAGCGAAUCCCUUAAAGCUGGUCUCAGUUCGGAUUGGGGUCUGCAACUCGACCCCAUGAAGUUGGAGUCGCUAGUAAUCGCAGAUCAGCAACGCUGCGGUGAAUACGUUCCCGGGC